RNAcentral lists this ribosomal RNA (463 nucleotides) under uncultured Xanthobacter sp. Its description in RNAcentral is "bacterial SSU rRNA". It matches the Rfam family "Bacterial small subunit ribosomal RNA", at positions 920 to 1382 of the family's 1533-position model. The record is from RNAcentral. Lineage: Bacteria; Pseudomonadati; Pseudomonadota; Alphaproteobacteria; Hyphomicrobiales; Xanthobacteraceae.
CCCGCACAAGCGGUGGAGCAUGUGGUUUAAUUCGAAGCAACGCGCAGAACCUUACCAGCCUUUGACAUGGCAGGACGAUUUUCAGAGAUGGAUCUCUUCCAGCAAUGGACCUGCACACAGGUGCUGCAUGGCUGUCGUCAGCUCGUGUCGUGAGAUAUUGGGUUAAGUCCCGCAACGAGCGCAACCCUCGCCUUUAGUUGCCAUCAUUCAGUUGGGCACUCUAAAGGGACUGCCGGUGAUAAGCCGCGAGGAAGGUGGGGAUGACGUCAAGUCCUCAUGGCCCUUACGGGCUGGGCUACACACGUGCUACAAUGGCGGUGACAGUGGGAUGCAAAGGGGCGACCCCUCGCAAAUCUCAAAAAGCCGUCUCAGUUCGGAUUGUACUCUGCAACUCGAGUGCAUGAAGUUGGAAUCGCUAGUAAUCGUGGAUCAGCAUGCCACGGUGAAUACGUUCCCGGGCCUU